GACGAACGCUGGCGGCGUGCUUAACACAUGCAAGUCGUACGGUAAGGCCCUUUCGGGGGUACACGAGUGGCGAACGGGUGCGUAACACGUGAGUAACCUGCCCACAACUUUGGGAUAACGCUAGGAAACUGGUGCUAAUACUGGAUAUGUGCUCCUGCUGCAUGGUGGGGGUUGGAAAGCUCCGGCGGUUGUGGAUGGACUCGCGGCCUAUCAGCUUGUUGGUGGGGUAGUGGCCUACCAAGGCGGCGACGGGUAGCCGGCCUGAGAGGGUGACCGGCCACCUUGGGACUGAGGGACGGCCCAGACUCCUACGGGAGGCAGCAGUGGGGAAUAUUGCACAAGGGGCGCAAGCCUGAUGCAGAAACGCCGCGUGCGGGAUGACGGCCUUCGGGUUGUAAACCGCUUGCAGCAGGGACGAAGCUUGUUGUGACGGUACCUGCAGAAGAAGCACCGGCUAACUACGUG
RNAcentral lists this ribosomal RNA (465 nucleotides) under uncultured bacterium. RNAcentral describes it as "partial 16S ribosomal RNA". It matches the Rfam family "Bacterial small subunit ribosomal RNA", at positions 28 to 507 of the family's 1533-position model. The record is from RNAcentral.